GCGCCCGUAGCUCAGUUGGAUAGAGCGUUUGGCUACGAACCAAAAGGUCGCAUGUUCGAGUCAUGCCGGGCGCA
RNAcentral lists this transfer RNA (74 nucleotides) under Acidobacteriota bacterium. RNAcentral describes it as "Acidobacteria bacterium (activated sludge metagenome) tRNA-Arg". It matches the Rfam family "tRNA". Rfam says of the family: Transfer RNA (tRNA) molecules are approximately 80 nucleotides in length. Their secondary structure includes four short double-helical elements and three loops (D, anti-codon, and T loops). Further hydrogen bonds mediate the characteristic L-shaped molecular structure. tRNAs have two regions of fundamental functional importance: the anti-codon, which is responsible for specific mRNA codon recognition, and the 3' end, to which the tRNAs corresponding amino acid is attached (by aminoacyl-tRNA synthetases). tRNAs cope with the degeneracy of the genetic code in two manners: having more than one tRNA (with a specific anti-codon) for a particular amino acid; and 'wobble' base-pairing, i.e. permitting non-standard base-pairing at the 3rd anti-codon position. RNAcentral also lists the same sequence under 1 other name. The record is from RNAcentral. Lineage: Bacteria; Pseudomonadati; Acidobacteriota.